Molecule: non-coding RNA, 866 nt
Organism: Salvelinus sp. IW2-2015
Lineage: Eukaryota; Metazoa; Chordata; Actinopteri; Salmoniformes; Salmonidae
Source: RefSeq, a predicted model, not a curated record
UCAGUGAAGCUGGAAGACUGCAGUCAAACACUGGAGCUGAAUGUCAUCAUUAAAGAUGAAGAAGAGGAGGAGAAGAUUGGGAAUUCUCUUUGUCAUGGAAACCAUGUUGACACAUUCUCUACAUCCAGAGAGCAACAGCAGGAAGAUCACAGAGCUAAGAGGUCUCACCUACUGCCCACAUUAAAAUAAGAGACUGCAGUUGCAGUGGGCUAAGAAAUGAAAAGACUGGACGCUGGAGAAUUUGAAAAACAUUGCCUGGUCUGAUGAAUCCCUGUUCCUGCUGUUUCAUGCUGAUGGGAGGACUAGGGUAUGGAGGAAACCAUGAGUACAUCCAUCAUGCCUCGUGUCAACACUGCAGGCUGGUGGUGAUGGUGUGGAGUUUGUUUUCAUGCCAUACACUGGGCCCCUUGAUAAAAGUGGAGCAACGUUUGAAUGCCACAGGAUAUCUAAACAUCAUUGCCAAGCAGGUGCAUCCCUUCAUGGCAGCAGUUUAUCCAUCUGCAAAUAGAUUUUGUUCAGCAGGAUUAUGCCACAAGGUUUGUCCAGGAAUGGUUCCAAGAACAUGACAGUGAAUUCAGCUUACUGCAGUGGCCUGCCGAGUCACCAGAUCUCAAUCCAAUUGUUCAUCUGUGGGAAGAGAUGGAAGGAGCUAUUCGGAGUAGAGAUCCACUCCCAGCCAACUUGACACAAUUUUGGGAAGAAUUGGGCCAGAAUCCCUGUGGAAUGCUCUCAACACCUUGGACAGUCUAUGCACUGAAGAAUUAAGGCUAAUUCUGAGGACAAAGGAGGGGUGCAACUCAAUAGGAUGGUGUUCCUAAUGUUUGUGCACUCAGUGUAUAUCAGAUAAAGGUGGUGUGAUGACCAGU